Molecule: transfer RNA, 72 nt
Filed under: Chromis acares (midget chromis)
Lineage: Eukaryota; Metazoa; Chordata; Actinopteri; Pomacentridae
Description: tRNA-Trp
Rfam family: tRNA
About the family: Transfer RNA (tRNA) molecules are approximately 80 nucleotides in length. Their secondary structure includes four short double-helical elements and three loops (D, anti-codon, and T loops).
Source: RNAcentral
AAGGGUUUAGGAUAGAAUUCAGACCGGGGGCCUUCAAAGCCCCUAGCGGGAGUGAAAAUCUCCCAACCCUUG